RNAcentral lists this RNase P RNA (325 nucleotides) under Sulfurimonas marina. Its description in RNAcentral is "Sulfurimonas sp. B2 RNase P RNA component class A". It matches the Rfam family "Bacterial RNase P class A". From Rfam's summary of the family: Ribonuclease P (RNase P) is a ubiquitous endoribonuclease, found in archaea, bacteria and eukarya as well as chloroplasts and mitochondria. Lineage: Bacteria; Pseudomonadati; Campylobacterota; Epsilonproteobacteria; Campylobacterales; Sulfurimonadaceae. The record is from RNAcentral.
AAGCAUAAGAAGAUAGUGACUUGGGGUCAAACUCAAGAGGAAAGUCCGAGCUGCUGUAAGACAAUGUUCCAUUUAACGAAUGGCCGUAGUAAUACGAGGGAAAGUGCAACAGAAAUAUUACUUCCACUUAGUGGUAAAGGUGAAAAGGCGGUGUAAGAGACCACCAGUCUUUAUGGCAACAUAGAGAGCUUGUAAACCCAACAUGGCAGCAAGAAGCAGAUGGUUAGCGUCUUACAAUUGCUAUUGCUUCGCUAGAGACACGAUGUAAAUUGUGUAGUAGAUUAAUGCUAUCGAUACAAAACUCGGCUUAUUCUUAUGCUUUUAA